UAAAAACCUCUAUGAAAAAAAUAAGGGAUACCCCGGGAGCAGAACCAGGAACGCGAGAGCCCAGGAGAGCACCAGGAGGGUCUCCGUCCAAUUCCCGUGAGUCCAAGGGCUCUUCAAUUUUCCAUCCUGGGAUAUCUUCAAGACACGCAGGAACCCUCCCUGUUUACCAAACUGCUAAGGCUUCUUCAGAGUUUAAAAAAAAUCCCCAUCUCUGCCAAACCCUGAAGUUGCCUCAACACUUUCAAGAAGACCCAUUGUGGUCUUGCUGGAGUGUGGAAUUCAGGAUCGAGAUGCAAAAUUAUCAUUGUACAUGGAACCAUGUGAAUGUAGGAAUCCAAGUAAGACCCCAAAUGUAAAACCAAGGAGGAAGGAUAUUAUCAAGGCCCCUCUAGCCACAGAAGACAGAAUCUGCUUCUGUAAGUACAUCUUCCUGAAAAGACUUCCCAGUUCCAAAAUUUGCCACCAGUUUAUUCAUCUGACACAGGUGAGUUCCAAUCUCACACUUAUGAAGCUUUGGACAAACUGUUACAUGUAACGCAAAACACUUGGUAACAAGACUUUGCAGGGAGAGAACCUGGAGGAAUGAGAGCUAGUGGAGUAGAAACGCUUCUAGGUGCUCAAUACCACACGGCCAUUAAUGACUGUCUCCUUAAACUCUUGGUACAAGAACAGAGGUAAUGUUCCAAGGGUAACAACCAAGACAGGCUGGUGUUUAAGGCCUGGGAAAAGCAGAGUUGCUGGACAGACAGAAAGUGAAGACAUUUAGCAGCUUCCCGAAUACCAUACAAAGAAAAGGGUGCCCUCAAUCAAUGUCUGAAGUGGGCUCUUAAGACCCAAAAAAUCCCCUCAAUACAGGAGCCGAGCCAUCAGUCAGGCUUGACGUUGAUAGAAUCACCCCUUUAAAACUACCCUUUGUACCCUUAUUAUCCAUCAUCUAGCCUUUUGCAUGAGCCCAACCACAGGGUAAGCCAUCCAGGACAGUGGGCUAGGGGUAAGGCCCAGCUGAGGGACUAAGCAAAUAAAUCACUUCUCCCCCUGAGGCUCAGUUGCCUUAUCCAUGAAAUGGUUAAGUUCUAAGCUUCCAGUGAGACAAUCUUCUUUUAUUAACUUUAUAUAGUGCAUGGCCUGACUUCACCUUCCAGGAACUAAGGCCCUCCGGGUAAACUGGUUCAGCUUGUGGAUUAAAAAAGCACCAUGGGAAGACUAGCCCCGACCCCUGAAAAUCAAGGUGCUGUUAGUCCUAGAGAUCAAGGGACUACUUAUUUAUACUAUUUAUUUGGAAAAUGCUUUUUAAUAUUUAUUUUGAAAGAGAGAUAGAGAGCAAGCAGGGGAGGAGCAAAGAGAGAGGGAGACAGAGAAUCCCAAGCAGGCUCCGUGCUGUCAAUGCAAACAGCUCGAACACACAAACUUUGAGAUCAUGACCUGAGCCAAAACCAAGAGUUGGACGCUUAAGCAAAUGAGCCACCCAGGCGCUCAUUUUAGAAAGACAUGUUUUAAAAUAAAGAAUGUUUUAAAAGAAAACAUCUUUUAAAAACAACGUCACAGCAUCACCAGAUUGGUCAGGAAAGCAUUCCAUGAACUUGAUAAAGCCCUAGCCAGAGAGCAUCCGUGCAUCACUUUCCUCUCUCCCACAACAAAAGCACAGCUGAGCCUGGACAGCAGUGAGCUGACCUCGCUCCGACCACUACGCACACAUCCACAUGAUUACAAAACUCCACAUACGGUCCAAAGAGGCACGACAACAGAUAUACUGUGCCAAUCAACAGUAUUUCACAAGGAGGCAAAAAUAAAAAAUGCCUUUCUCUUCAACUAUCCUCAAUCAUCAGGAAGUCAUUUUCCUUGAAUCCUUUUCAAAAAUGCACCCAGAUUCAUGUCACAGAAGGAAAAAAAAAAAAAAGAAGAAGAAGAAGAAGAAUAUCAAAAGCACUUUAGGCUGAGAAAAGGGAUAUGGACCUUUACCGGAACCCAUGAUCUAGGACUCACAGGCAUUUUAAGGGACUAUCAAGGGUUCCUGGGUGACUUAGAUGAGCAUCCAACUUCGGCUCAGGUCACGAUCUGGCAGUUCACACGUGCGAGCCCGGCAUCGGGCUCUGUGCUGACAGCUCAGAACCUGGAGCUUGCUUUGGAUUCAGUGUCUCCUUUUCUCUCAGCCCCUCCCCUGCUUGUCCACUCACACACUCUCUCUCUCUCUGUCUCUCAGAAAUAAACAUAAAAAAAGAAAAUUAAGGGACAAUCAUAGAGAAAUGGUUCCAAGCCUGGCUGUCCCUUAGUAACACCUGGGCAGCCUUAAAAAAAAGCCCAUGCCAGGGUCCCAACGCUAGUUUAACUGGUCUGGACUGGGCCCUGGCCAUUUGUAGUUAUGAAUGCUUCCCAACUCUGCACACCACUAAUUAAGAGGCUCUUCAAACUACAAAGCAAGUUAGCGUUAGGCAACUGUUUUGCAGCACUGAUUUCAGGAUAUGGGAUUUCUGACAGAAAUGUCAAUCGACAACAACAAAACAGGAACAGUAAUGACAGAAAUCAAGUGAAGGUCAUGUGUUUCCAUGUGUCAUUUUAAGGAAGAAAACUCCACAAGCACGUUAAUGAAAACCAAAUGCUAGGAAUGGAGGGUGGUGGUGAUUUCACAACUUUAUGCGUUUGUCAGAAACCCAUACACAUACACACAACGGACUUAUUGCAUGGAAAUUAAAAAUAAAUUUAAAACAUACUCAGAAAAAAAAAGUGAUACAUUCAUUUAUUCUAGGAAUUCUCAAUCUUCACUAAAUGCUAGAAUUACCCAGGGAGUCUUUAAAAAUGUGGCUGUCCCGGCUGCACCCCAGAUCAAGGACAUCAGAACCUCUGGUGGGCAUCUAUAGUUUUUAAAGCUCCGCGGGUGAUUCCAAUGGGCAACCCUGUCUCUCAAUUUCCAGAACAGUAAGAAAAAUCAGGCCCAAUGGACGUUAACACGUAUCCAUAAAAACAUGGCUUCCAACAAGAGUCAUCACUUCUACCUUCCACCCAUUCAGGGAAGUUCACUAAAACCUACUUUUUUUUGUCUCUCAACUUCUGUUUGGUUUCAGGAUAUCCUCGUGACCCACAAGCCAAACAAAAGAGGUGCCGUGAUACCCACCAGCAGCCUACACCAUCGCCUGCAAACGUGCUGAAAGGUUUUAAAGCACGGCAGUAGUUCUGAAACAUCAACAACUCCUGGAUGGGUGGUUCCGAGACAUUGACUGCUGACCCCACCCUGGAGUUUUCUGAUUCAGUAGGUCUCUGGGGUGCUGCUGCUUGGAGACCAUGUUCUAAAGCAAAGUGAACUAAAUAGAGACUUGAAAGCCAGUGCUGAAGCUAAACCAGACAGUUUUUCGGUCACGACAGCCACAGCGCAGAGACUACUGGUCAGUUUCAGGGAACAAGUUAUAUUUACAAAGUGACCUUCAGCAAGACAUUACAAAGAUCUGCAGGUAAGUAAAGCAGAACAGAUUAUCUCUCAUCUAAAGGCAACGUGCUACUCAAAGGGUGAUGCACAAACCUAGGCAUCACCUAGAACGGGUUACAAAUGCAGCAUCUCAGGCCUUACUCCAAACCUUACUGGGUCAGAAAGUAUCUGAAUAGGAUCCCUGGAAUAUGAAAUGCACAUUAAAUCAGCCUUGACCAGUUCCCUCACUCACACCACCAUUACUGAGCACUUACUCUGCAUAAACCCUAGCAGUCAACUGCACAGACAAGCCUUUACACUCCUGGAGCUUCCAUGGGGCAAAGGAUAAAACUCAAGCCCAGAGCUGUUGGACUAGGCAAGGUCACAGAGCUAGCCAGUGGUAGAAACAGGUUUAGAACCCAUGUCUCUUAAACCCUGUACAGUAGAAAUUAUACAGGCCACUGCCUCUAUCAAUAUCACAAACAUAAUUCCAAGC
Long non-coding RNA from Acinonyx jubatus (cheetah), 3893 nucleotides. RefSeq lists it as uncharacterized. The record is from RefSeq and is a predicted model, not a curated record. NCBI's taxonomy places the organism in Eukaryota, Metazoa, Chordata, Mammalia, Carnivora, Felidae. The transcript has 4 exons.